RNAcentral lists this ribosomal RNA (828 nucleotides) under Arthrobotrys macroides. RNAcentral describes it as "LSU rRNA". It matches the Rfam family "Eukaryotic large subunit ribosomal RNA", at positions 86 to 933 of the family's 3401-position model. Lineage: Eukaryota; Fungi; Ascomycota; Orbiliomycetes; Orbiliales; Orbiliaceae. The record is from RNAcentral.
ACGGCGAAGUGAAGCGGCAACAGCUCAAAUUUGAAAUCUGGAGCCUUCGGCUUCCGAGUUGUAAUUUGAAGAGGAUGUUUCGGUGCGACCUGGGCCUAAGUUCCUUGGAACAGGACGUCAUGGAGGGUGAGAAUCCCGUACAUGGCUGCAGGUUUGCUUCUAUGUGAAACUCCUUCGAAGAGUCGAGUUGUUUGGGAAUGCAGCUCAAAAUGGGUGGUAAAUUUCAUCUAAAGCUAAAUAUUGGCGGGAGACCGAUAGCGCACAAGUAGAGUGAUCGAAAGAUGAAAAGCACUUUGAAAAGAGAGUUAAACAGUACGUGAAAUUGUUGAAAGGGAAGCGCUUGCAAUCAGACUCGCCUUCAGUUGAUCAGCCUUCCUUCUGGUUGGUGCACUCUGCUGUUGGCGGGCCAGCAUCAGUUGGGGCGGUGGGACAAAGGCGGCAGGAAUGUGGCUCGCUUCGGUGAGUGUUAUAGCCUGCUGCGUCAUGCCACCAGUCCCGAUUGAGGUCCGCGGUUCGCCUAGGAUGCUGGCUUAAUGGUUGUAAGCGACCCGUCUUGAAACACGGACCAAGGAGUCUAACAUCUAUGCGAGUCUUUGGGUGUAAAACCCAUGGGCGGAAUGAAAGUGAACGGAGGUGGGAGUCCUCGGAUGCACCAUCGACCGAUCCUGAUGUUCUCGGAUGGAUUUGAGUAUGAGCAUAGCUGUUGGGACCCGAAAGAUGGUGAACUAUGCCUGAAUAGGGUGAAGCCAGAGGAAACUCUGGUGGAGGCUCGCAGCGGUUCUGACGUGCAAAUCGAUCGUCAAAUUUGGGUAUAGGGGCGAAAGACUA